UACGUAGGGUGCAAGCGUUGUCCGGAAUUAUUGGGUGUAAAGAGCUCGUAGGCGGUUUGUCGCGUCUGCUGUGAAAACCUAAGGCUCAACCUUGGGCUUGCAGUGGGUACGGGCAGACUAGAGUGCGGUAGGGGUGACUGGAAUUCCUGGUGUAGCGGUGGAAUGCGCAGAUAUCAGGAGGAACACCGAUGGCGAAGGCAGGUCACUGGGCCGCAACUGACGCUGAGGAGCGAAAGCAUGGGGAGCGAACAGG
This 253-nucleotide ribosomal RNA is filed under the name uncultured bacterium. RNAcentral describes it as "partial 16S ribosomal RNA". It matches the Rfam family "Bacterial small subunit ribosomal RNA", at positions 524 to 776 of the family's 1533-position model. The record is from RNAcentral.